GGCAGGAGAAGUCCUGCCAUCCGAAAGGAAGACAAACCCGGGGAACUGAAACAUCUAAGUACCCGGAGGAAGAGAAAUCAAACGAGAUACCCAAAGUAGCGGCGAGCGAAAUGGGCACAAGCCCAAACCGUAUCACUUCGGUGGUACGGGGUUGAGGACUGACAAAAAGGAUGGAACGUUUAGGCGAAUGACCUGGAAAGGUCAGGCACAGCGGGUAAAACCCCCGUAGCCGAAAGGCGGGUCAUCCGGGUCAGUAUCCAGAGUAUCGCGGGGCACGAGGAACCUUGCGAGAAACAGGGGGGACCACCCUCCAAGGCAAAAUACUACCUGGCGACCGAUAGCGCAU
RNAcentral lists this ribosomal RNA (346 nucleotides) under Pectinatus sp. BK8. RNAcentral describes it as "bacterial LSU rRNA". It matches the Rfam family "Bacterial large subunit ribosomal RNA", at positions 130 to 495 of the family's 2925-position model. The record is from RNAcentral. Lineage: Bacteria; Bacillati; Bacillota; Negativicutes; Selenomonadales; Selenomonadaceae.